GUAGGGAAUAUUGGGCAAUAGAGGCAACUCUGACCCAGCCAUGCCGCGUGCAGGAUGACGGCCCUCUGGGUUGUAAACUGCUUUUAUACGGGAAGAAAAAAUACUACGUGUAGUAUACUGACGGUACCGUAAGAAUAAGGAUCGGCUAACUCCGUGCCAGCAGCCGCGGUAAUACGGAGGAUCCAAGCGUUGUCCGGAUUUAUUGGGUAUAAAGGGUGCGUAGGCGGAUCUUUAAGUCAGUAGUGAAAGCCUGCAGCUUAACUGUAGAAUUGCCAUUGAAACUGAAGAUCUUGAAUGUGGUUAAAGUAGGCGGAAUGUAUCAUGUAGCGGUGAAAUGCUUAGAUAUGAUACAGAACACCGAUAGCGAAGGCAGCUUGCUGAACCAUUAUUGACGCUGAGGCACGAAAGCGUGGGGAGCGAACAGGAUUAGAAACCCGUGUAGUCC
This 445-nucleotide ribosomal RNA is filed under the name uncultured bacterium. Its description in RNAcentral is "partial 16S ribosomal RNA". It matches the Rfam family "Bacterial small subunit ribosomal RNA", at positions 354 to 796 of the family's 1533-position model. The record is from RNAcentral.